Molecule: non-coding RNA, 4209 nt
Organism: Podarcis lilfordi (Lilford's wall lizard)
Lineage: Eukaryota; Metazoa; Chordata; Lepidosauria; Squamata; Lacertidae
Source: the annotation of a GenBank genome assembly
GGCUGACCAUUUUCUUGAGUGUUUGAGAAAGUUCCCUGUGCAUCUGUACCAUGUGCAUGGAGCUUUUCCCAGCACCGGAGAACUGGAAAGCUCCUAUUUGUUUGACAUUCUGGGUUUACAGUGCUCCUGUUUUUUUAUUUUAUUUUAAGAAUUCUUCAUAAGGCUUUUAAAAUAUUUAUAUUUUAUUAAGGUGAUUUUGGUGUAAAGAAAUAAAGUGAUACAGAAAAAAGAAGAAGGAAAAGUGAGAGGAAGAAAAACAACAACAUAUAUGUGUGUGUGUGUGUGUGUGUGUGUGUGUGUGAAAAUAUAUAAAAAAGAAAAAGAAGCAAUAUAUGAUAUUCCUAUACAUUCCUAUAUAAAUUGGUAUACUGUUAUUGUCCUAUGUAAAUGUUAAUAGCCUACUACAUUUUGUAUAAACUCAUUCCAAAUGUUAUCAUAUUUAUCCAUACAGAGUCUGCGCCUGUAAGCAGUCCGUUCAUAAAUUGCCAGUGAGGACAUAUCAUCAGUCCAUUGAUGGAAGCGUAUCAUAUCUUUAUUUUCCCAAUUCCUAUUAUGUACACUAGUACUGCUGUACUGGAGCUAUUGUAAUGAUAUAGAACGUGAUAUAGAACGAUGAUAUAGAAUGAUAUCACAACGUGAAGAAAAAUCCCUGCAACACAAAACUUUAUUUUGGCCAGUGCUUCCAAGAAUACACAGCCAGAUAUAGGUUUCUGGUCCUCAUGGAUGUGAAGACAUGGAGGCAUGCAGUAACUGACAAAAGAUGAGUCGUCACGCUAGAGGCUAAGCAAGAUUUUCAGUUAGCAGGAAGUGGGAUUACAGAGCACUUUUUGAUUUAGCCUCAAUCAAGGGAAGCUCUUCAGCUAUAAGUGAGAGUUCUGCUAAGUGCAGGAAAUAUACAUCUUUAUUUCAAUGUGUGAGACAAGAGACUGCAAAGUAGCAAAUAGGACUGUGGCAUUUAAUAACAAUCUUGUUCAAUUAAUGUGUUUAGCCUUACUCUGAUUAAAAUGCAGGAGCUCCGUUAUGAUCAAAUCAUUGGCAGUAAUAGCUGGGUUGAACUCCUCGUUAUUUUUAACCACCAGUUUAGGAUAUUUGAUUUGUUCUUUACUUAUGCUGCAAGUUUUAAAGUGUGUGUUUUUGGACAAUACCGAAAUUAUUUAAAUGCGUUUUCUUUUUUAAGGGCCUCUGGUGCCAUCUUGUGUUCAACCACAUUGUUGUGUCUUAACCGACAAUACGAUGGACACUGUCAUGCUUUAAUACUUGGGUCUACUGUUGUGUGCUUACCAUGUCCUGCUUACUUAGGUCUGAUAUGUGGAACAGCUCAGAAUGAGCAGAGUUGACUUUGUUCCUUGCAAAGAAGCAGCUGGCCGAGAAGUUCAAUGUGUGGCACAUACGUGACAUAAAGUACUUGAGUUCUGCAUGGCUUGUUUCUUCUCAUCCUGCAAGACAUGAGUCUGGAACCUUUUCAAGGGCAAUCCUCUGGCAAGAUCCAUGCAGAUGAGCAUUUUAGGAUGCAGCACAUCUCUGGCUCAGCUGGCUGAUUCCCAGCUUAGCUGGCAUUAAAUCCCCCAUCCUAGUUCAGCCAAAGAUACACGACUGUGACUUGCUCAUCCUGGCUCAGCCAGUGCUCAGGUGGCUGAGCCAAGGCAGUUGUAAGUCCCCAGGAAGUGGGGGAGGAACAGGGGGGGGGACUUAGGCUUGAUACUAAGCCUGUCCAACGCGUGGCCUGGCAACACUGCACCAAACUCUAUUUCAAAGCCCUGCUGCAGAACAGGAUUUGGAUCUGGUGCAACUGCCCCGCGAUCCUGGGAUGAAGGGUGGUAUAUAAAUUUAAUAAAUAAAUAAAUAGCAUUUUCGCCAGCUUAAUUUACACUGGCUUGCUUCUCUGAUCAGCCUCGCUCCCUAGUUAGAGAAGUGGGGUGCUAGACAAGGAGAAGGUUUGUCCUCUUCAGCAAGCUGAGGAGCUUCAGCAUGGAGAUAGCCGAGGUCUCUCCCAGGACCCUCCUACUCCUAGUAUCACCUUCAGCCAGCAGGAGCAGGAACUGCAGAGGAUGGUAAAACCCAGGGGUGGGAGCAGACCAACAGCACCUUCUUUUUAUCGAAAGGCCACUGUUGAGGUGGCACUGCAGGGUGUGUGCUGAGGAGGCACCAGAUCUGGCCUCCAAGGAGAGCAUGACAGUCAUUGCUGCCACCAUGGCAGCAGCAGUGGGUGGAGGUCAGAACUGCUGCUCCUGUGGAUCCUGCUACCUGAGGUAGUUGCUUCACCUUCCCUCAGGUGUAGGCCAGCCCUGCUAGUCAAUCCAUUCAAGUAGCGGGGUUGGGAGACUCAAGCCCUGACUCCAGCUUUAUCCCUAAAGUUAACUUGGCUUUUGACAAAACAGAGCAUAUUGUUCUCCCUAGUUUUUGCCCUAAUCCGACCCACUACGGGGGGGGGGGGGAUGGCAUGGGCUGGACAUCAGAUGCAACUUGUGGAUUUGCCUACACCAGAGCCAUUCACUCUGAAAGAUGGAGUUUCUUUUCUUCUUGCUGCUGAAUUCUUUCAACCUGGCUGCUGAAUUCUGCACUAGCUGAAGCUUUCAACCCAUCUUGAGGCAGCCCUAUGUAUAACACGUUGCAAUAAUCUAAGCUCAAGUUUACCAGAGCAUAGACGACAAUAGGUAGGCUAUCCCUGUUGAGAUAAGUGCACAGCUGGGACACCAGCUGAAGCUGAUGGAAAGCGCUGCAUGCCACUGAGGCCACCUGAGUCUCAAGUGACAGCAAAGGAUCCAGGAGCAACCCCAAGCUAUGUACCAGCUCCUUCAGAGGAAGUGUAACCCCAUUAAGAGCAGACAACCUCCCAGUCAUCCAGUCUAGGGAAGCACCCACUAACAGUGCCUCAGUUUUAUCUGGAUUGAGUUUCAGUUUGUUGGUUCUUAUCAGUCCAUUAUCAAGGCAAGACACCAGUCCACUGCCUCACCUGCAGAUGUGAUGGAGAAGUAGAGCUAAGUGUCAUCAGCAUAUUGCUGACAAUGUACUCAAAACCUCUGCAUAAUCCCACUCAGUGGUUUCAUGUAGAUGUCGAACAGCAUAGGGGAUAGGAUCAUACCCCGCAGAACCCCACAUUGAAGGUUCCAUGGGGCUGAAAAACACUCCCCAAGCAAUACCCUCCAAGUAGGACCAGAACCGCUGCAAACCAGUGCCACCCACCCCUAACUCGGACAGCCACUCCAGAAGGAUACCAUGGUUGGUGGUAUCAAAAGCCAGUGAGAAGUCAAGGAGAAUUACCAGGAACACAUUUCCCCUGUCUCUCUCUCAACAGAGGUCAUCAUACAGGGUGACCCUGAUUGAAAUGGAUCUAGGAAAUCAGUUUCUUCCAAAAGCGCCUGGAUGUGGUCUGCAACCACCUGCUCCAGAACCUUGCUCAGGAAAGGGAGAUUAACAACUGGCUGGUAGUUAGAUUUUUCAAAUCCAAGGAAGGUUUCUUAAGGAGUGGUUUUACCACUGCCUCUUUCAAGCAGGCAGGGGCCAGCCCCUCUUAUAAAAAAGCAUUAACCACUUCCCUGGCCCAGCCAGCUGUCCCCUCCCUGAUGGUUUUUAUCAGCCAAGAGGAGCAAGGGUCUGGAGAGCAAGUGGUUGCCCUGACUUGUCCACAUCCUCAAGCCUUACCAACUGAAACAUAUCCAACACAACAGGACUAGACUGUGCUCUGGACACCCCAUGAGAUUCAUCUGCUAUAACAGCAGAGUCAAGAUCUUGGUGGAUGCAAGCAAUUUUAUCCUCAGAAUGCUUUGCAAGCAAGUCACAGCGGGCUACCGUUGGUUCUACCACAUCCUUUGGGCCAGCCUGUACAACUCAGAAAAGCUCUACCAGAUGACAUGAUGAGGAUGCAAUGGAGGCAGCAAAGUGUGCCUUCUUUGCUGCCUUCACUGCCACUAGGUAGGCUCGAUGAUGAGCCCUCACCAGAGUUUGGUUGCAUUCAUUCGGAUCUUUCAUCCACCUGCGUUUGAGUCGUCUCCUAGCUUGUUUCCUUGCCCUACACUCUGGAGUAUGCCAGGGGGCAAUCAGGCUCCACAAAGUGGGAGAGGGCACUCAGGGGCGAUUGGGUCAAUAUGCAGAAAAUAUUAAAAUAAAUUUAAGGAACCGCAGAAAGAGAGGAAGUACAGGAAGUCAAGUUUCAAAAUGCUAAAAUGUUUGCAAAAUUACUGAAAUGUAUAUAACUGAAAAUCAUAAAUU